AAACUUAAAGGAAUUGACGGGGCCCGCACAAGCGGUGGAGCAUGUGGUUUAAUUCGGCGCAACGCGAAGAACCUUACCAGGGCUUGACAUCCCCUGACCGCCGGGGAAACCCGGUCUUCUACUUUCGGGUAGACAGGGAGACAGGUGGUGCAUGGUUGUCGUCAGCUCGUGUCGUGAGAUGUUGGGUUAAGUCCCGCAACGAGCGCAACCCUUACGGUUAGUUGCCAGCGGGUAACGCCGGGCACUCUGGCCGAACUGCCGUUGAUAAAACGGAGGAAGUGGGAUGACGUCAAAUCAUCAUGCCCUUUAUGCCCUGGGCUACACACGCGCUACAAUGGCCGGUCCAAAGGGCAGCGCACCCGCGAGGGGAAGCGAAUCCCAAAAAGCCGGUCUCAGUUCGGAUUGCAGGCUGCAACUCGCCUGCAUGAAGGCGGAAUCGCUAGUAAUCGCAGGUCAGCAUACUGCGGUGAAUACGUUCCCGGGCCUU
Molecule: ribosomal RNA, 487 nt
Filed under: uncultured Desulfotomaculum sp.
Lineage: Bacteria; Bacillati; Bacillota; Clostridia; Eubacteriales; Desulfotomaculaceae
Description: bacterial SSU rRNA
Rfam family: Bacterial small subunit ribosomal RNA
Source: RNAcentral